ACGCUCGACACCUACAGGAGGCAGCAGUGGGGAAUAUUGCACAAUGGAGGAAACUCUGAUGCAGCGAUGCCGCGUGAGGGAAGAAGGUUUUCGGAUUGUAAACCUCUGUCUUUGGGGACGAUAAUGACGGUACCCAAGGAGGAAGCUCCGGCUAACUACGUGCCAGCAGCAGGACGGUAAUCUGGAGGCGGGCGUGGACGAAGGC
Molecule: ribosomal RNA, 205 nt
Filed under: uncultured bacterium
Lineage: Bacteria
Description: partial 16S ribosomal RNA
Rfam family: Bacterial small subunit ribosomal RNA
Source: RNAcentral